RNAcentral lists this non-coding RNA (23 nucleotides) under Arabidopsis thaliana (thale cress). The record is from RNAcentral. Lineage: Eukaryota; Viridiplantae; Streptophyta; Magnoliopsida; Brassicales; Brassicaceae.
UUAAACUUCUUGUUGAGUGCUGC